This 496-nucleotide ribosomal RNA is filed under the name uncultured bacterium. Its description in RNAcentral is "partial 16S ribosomal RNA". It matches the Rfam family "Bacterial small subunit ribosomal RNA", at positions 29 to 507 of the family's 1533-position model. The record is from RNAcentral.
AUGAACGCUGGCGGCGUGCCUAAUACAUGCAAGUCGAGCGUACGGACGAGAAGCUUGCUUCUCUGAUGUUAGCGGCGGACGGGUGAGUAACACGUGGAUAACCUACCUAUAAGACUGGGAUAACUUCGGGAAACCGGAGCUAAUACCGGAUGAUAUUUUGAACCGCAUGGUUCAAAAGUGAAAGACGGUCUUGCUGUCACUUAUAGAUGGAUCCGCGCUGCAUUAGCUAGUUGGUAAGGUAACGGCUUACCAAGGCAACGAUGCAUAGCCGACCUGAGAGGGUGAUCGGCCACACUGGAACUGAGACACGGUCCAGACUCCUACGGGAGGCAGCAGUAGGGAAUCUUCCGCAAUGGGCGAAAGCCUGACGGAGCAACGCCGCGUGAGUGAUGAAGGUCUUCGGAUCGUAAAACUCUGUUAUUAGGGAAGAACAUAUGUGUAAGUAACUGUGCACAUCUUGACGGUACCUAAUCAGAAAGCCACGGCUAACUACGUG